AAACUGGAGAGUUUGAUCCUGGCUCAGAAUGAACGCUGGCGGCGUGCUUAACACAUGCAAGUCGAGCGCGAAAGCGACUUCGGUCGCAAGUAGAGCGGCGCACGGGUGAGUAACACGUGGAUAACCUGCCUGAGUGUGGGGAAUAACUUGGGGAAACCUAAGCUAAUACCGCAUACGUCCAUUGGACUUCGGUUUGAUGGGGAAAGACCGCCAAUCCUUGGAAGCGGUCGCACACAG
Non-coding RNA from Beta vulgaris subsp. vulgaris (sugar beet), 237 nucleotides. The record is from Rfam. Lineage: Eukaryota; Viridiplantae; Streptophyta; Magnoliopsida; Caryophyllales; Amaranthaceae.